Molecule: ribosomal RNA, 360 nt
Filed under: uncultured bacterium
Lineage: Bacteria
Description: bacterial SSU rRNA
Rfam family: Bacterial small subunit ribosomal RNA
Source: RNAcentral
AAUGAACGCUGGCGGCGUGCUUUACACAUGCAAGUCGAGCGAGGCCAGGUAGCAAUACCUGAGUCGAGCGGCGAACGGGUGAGUAACGCGUGGAUUAUCUGCCCUGAGGUGGGGGAUAACCCGGGGAAACUCGGGCUAAUACCGCAUAUGACCGUGAGGUCGAAAGGGGGUCGGCAAGAUCUCCCGCCAUAGGAGGAGUCCGCGUUCGAUUAGCUAGUUGGUAGGGUAAUGGCCACCAAGGCGACGAUCGAUAGCCGGCCUGAGAGGGUGAUCGGCCACACUGGAACUGAGACACGGUCCAGACUCCUACGGGAGGCAGCAGUGGGGAAUUUUGGGCAAUGGCCGCAAGGCUGACCCAGC